Molecule: unclassified non-coding RNA, 294 nt
Filed under: uncultured Xylariales
Lineage: Eukaryota; Fungi; Ascomycota; Sordariomycetes; Xylariales
Description: sequence contains ITS1
Rfam family: 5.8S ribosomal RNA (bases 1-105)
Source: RNAcentral
GAAAUGCGAUAAGUAAUGUGAAUUGCAGAAUUCAGUGAAUCAUCGAAUCUUUGAACGCACAUUGCGCCCAUUAGUAUUCUAGUGGGCAUGCCUAUUCGAGCGUCAUUUCAACCCUUAAGCCUAGCUUAGUGUUGGGGGCUUACAGUUAUGUAACUCCCUAAAGUCAGUGGCAGAGCUAGAUUGUCUCUCAGCGUAGUAAUUUUUUCUCGCUUUUGUAGAUGGUCUUGUGCUAGCCAUAAGCCUAUUUUUCUAAUGGUUGACCUCGGAUUAGGUAGGAAUACCCGCUGAACUUAA